CCUACGGGUUGCAGCAGUGGGGAAUAUUGGGCAAUGGGCGCAAGCCUGACCCAGCAACGCCGCGUGAAGGAAGAAGGCUUUCGGGUUGUAAACUUCUUUUCUCAGGGACGAAGCAAGUGACUGUACCUGUGGAAUAAGCCACCGCUAACCACGUGACAGCAGCCGCGGUAAUCCGUAGGGGGCAAGCGUUACACGGAUUUACUGGGUGUAAAGGGCGGGUAGGCGGGACUGCAAGUCAGAGGUGAAAACUACGGGCUCAACCUGUGGCCUGCAUUGGAAACUGUAGUUAUUGAGUACUGGGGAGGCAGGCGGAAUUCCUGGUGUAGCGGUGAAAUGCGUAGAUAUUAGGAGGAACACCGGUGGCGAAGGCGGUCUGCUGGACAGCAACUGACGCUGAGGCGCGAAAGCGUGGGGAGCAAACAGGAUUAGAUACCCGUGUAGUC
This 443-nucleotide ribosomal RNA is filed under the name uncultured bacterium. RNAcentral's name for it is "partial 16S ribosomal RNA". It matches the Rfam family "Bacterial small subunit ribosomal RNA", at positions 338 to 795 of the family's 1533-position model. The record is from RNAcentral.